GAGUCUCUCUUUCGUAGCGCCCACGUCUCAAUGGUGAAUUCGUUGCUCGUAUUGUCAACGGUGGAUUUGCUUUAACGUUAAGCUGGAUUUAAAGAUGAGAUAGGUUGAGAUAAUUUAUAAAUAGUUGUGAGAUUUGUAAGAUAUAAUUUAUAAAUAAUCGUGAAUAGCAGGAAGAUGAGUUGCGAUUAUCCGAACCGACACUUAUAGUGUUGGAAGAUCCGAACCCGGUUCGACUCCACUGGCGUCCUUUAAAAAAUGGGGACCCGUUCGGGAUCAGCGUUGUAGGUUCUGAUUGUCCUGGUUGGUCUUUUGGGGCUCUGGCGGGAUUGGUUCGGUUUUUGCCGAGAGUCGAAGACCCAAGAACGUGCAGGUCGCGGUUCGGGUCAAAUGGUCCGGUACCCCACUGCUUUUAGAAGCUGUGAACCAUUAUCUAGGGAAUGGAAAGACCUUUUUAAGGACGUCAUUGACGUGUGGCUUCAUACUGAGGGUGGCCUUGAUCUUAUACAGCUAAAGAGUGCCUGAAGAAAAUCUUGGAACAUGGACACUUUCUUUUUAAGUGAACCAUUGACAUCGUUGUUUGAAUUCUCACUUAUGCUGCGAUCAGCAUCCCCAAGAUUGGUGCUUUAUCGACAACUAGCAGAGAAGUCUCUUUUUCCUUUCCUCUGGCUGAUGAAGCUGGAUCAAACAAUUUCAAGGAGGAAACUUUAGAAACAAAUGCAAAAAUGCAGAUUAAAAAAUCAGACCCCUUGCUUGUUGGUGUAAACCUAGAUGGUGCUGGUGCAAAAUGUUGUUGAGUGAAUACUGGUGGAUCACUGUUCUUUGAUGUCGAGGAAUUGCUAUUGUGGCUUCGCAAUCCUAGUGAACUCGCUGGAGACUCAUUUCAGCAGCCAGAACUAUUUGACUUGAUCGUAUUCACUUUGAUUCAAGUGCUGAAAGCCCAAUUUCCAUCCUUAAUGGAGCUCUUGGAACUUAUUGCUUUAAGAAGUUUCAUGUCGCAUUAGUUGAAGCUGCCAAAGAAGGAAAAGUUAUGUUGUGAGACCUGUUUUACCUUCUGGCUGUGAAGCAAAAAUUGACCAUUGCAGUGCAGUUGGCACAAGAGAUUCCUUGAAUUUGGGCGGUUAUGGUGUAGGACUUGCUUUGAAGAACAUGGAAUAUAAGGCCAUGGAUAACAGUAUAAUAAAGAAAGAAUCAGCCAGGCUGCCACAAGCUACAACUGAAUCCUACAAGAUUUGCAACACUGCUCGGAUCACAAGAACCAACACAAUCUACCUACUUUCGGUCUACAGUUGUUCGUUUGAGCUGCUCAAGAAUAUUCUAAUCUGUCGGUUUACAGAUUAGAAAGUGCCUGAAAAGAAGAAAUAUGCCUUCUAAAAAACAAAAGAAACACUACUAUGAAGCUUGCGGCCAGCAGGCCAUACACGUCAGUGGUUUGCCAAUAUUUCUGCAACGGUACUCGGUAGAUCAGCAGCUAGGUACGUGCUGUGACUUGUGGCAAUUUCAAGACGCUUCAUCCUUCCUGGAAAUGCAUCCCAGUUUUUAAAAUGAGGAGUCUGUCAAAAGUUUUUUUUUUUUAUUUUUUAAGAUGCCUCUAAAUCAAGUAUUUAUCAUUUAAAACAAUUGAGCAACUGGAUGUCUGUUUUGGCAACCCCACUAAAAAGUGUAGGCAAUGAUGGCUCGAAUUAAGACAUUAAUGAAAUUUUCUACUGAAAAUAACAUCUAAAAUAAAUAAAUAAACAU
This is a long non-coding RNA of Juglans microcarpa x Juglans regia, 1737 nucleotides long. RefSeq lists it as uncharacterized. The record is from RefSeq and is a predicted model, not a curated record. The transcript has 5 exons. NCBI's taxonomy places the organism in Eukaryota, Viridiplantae, Streptophyta, Magnoliopsida, Fagales, Juglandaceae.